Molecule: long non-coding RNA, 1878 nt
Organism: Populus euphratica (Euphrates poplar)
Lineage: Eukaryota; Viridiplantae; Streptophyta; Magnoliopsida; Malpighiales; Salicaceae
Exons: 2
Source: RefSeq, a predicted model, not a curated record
CAUCCCAAACAUAUAAGAUAGCAUCAAGUCAUGAAGCUUUCCUUUAUCCCUAAGGGAAUAAGGGAGAACAAAACUAGAAGAACCACUCUAUAAUGCUUGUAAAUCUUGACUAUAACUUGAAUAUCACAUAUUGUUUCUGUUUCCUUGUUAAAUUUCACAAGGAUAACCUCCCUAUGCUUAGCAUCCAGUCCCUACGUUGCAGAAAACAUAAAAGAUAGCAAGUGGUAAUGUACUCUUGGUGUGUAUUCUAAGAACUCAGGGGAUCAAUUUUUAAUAAAUAUUGAAAAUUAAACUUCUUUUUACUUUCCAUGUAAAAGCUAAUCUUUAUUGUGACGAUCAGAUUAUUUCACGUUGUAACUUGUAUUUAUCUCAGCUCUCCUCCUUUCUAACGUAACAACUUACCACUAAAGUAUAUACCUCGAUAAUAUAUGGCUAGAUGUAUAGGAUCCACUCAUUCUAUAUAUUAAACCUUUAUGAAGUGAUUUUAGAAGGAAAAUCUGAUAAGAUUUAGCAUCACUCAAAAAAAUGGAACUAAAACUUUUUUAUGAACAAAUAUCGAAGAGGCAGAAUUUGUGUGUGUGAUAGUGUAUAUUUGGUAGCUCUAGGAUCUAAACCCAAUUGGAGAAGAGAACAGAUAAAUGAGAACAAAAACAAAGGCUUACAAGGACAAAAGAAAUAUAUAGUGUAAGGGUCAGAAAAUUCUAACACAAGAACGAGUGGCUUCAUCACCAGUCGAUUCAGAGAGGAUGACUAGCAUUCUCAAGGCAGCUUGUAGUAACAGGCAUCAAGAACAGUAGCAAACAAAAAGAGCUGCAACGUGUGGAGCCACACCAAGCAUUUUUCAAAGCCUCUUUUUUGUAGCUUAACAGAUUCGAUCCACAAUUUACUAUACAGGACCAGACCCUUUUUGUAGAGUUGGCCGGUGAUAAUAGCUAAAUAUACCUGUAAACUCACAUCAAGCUUCAAUAUUUCGAGCAAAUAAUUAAUUUCUUAUUUUCAAUUUUCAAUUGGUUUAUAUUUUUUUUUUUAUUAAUGUUCUUCAACUCAAUAUAAUUAAUUAGUACGAACACAUAUAGAUGCUCCACAUGAAGAAAAUUUUGCAACAAAGCAUGCCUCUAGUAGCUGAUCGAUGGAUGAAAACAAGAAGAUUAUGAUGCCUCCAGUUGCCUUUAGCACAGAGAUUGAAGUACCUCCCACACACGUUGACAAGUAGAUUAGGUCUCUUACAAGCAUUUCAAUAUCGCACACAAUGACACAAACAAGAACUAGCUAUAGCACACAAGACAAAGUACAAUACAAAGCAAAGACAUCCAAAUUCUUUCACAGCAUAAGAUGUUGCUAAAACCAAAGAAACCAUCAACUAAACUACAAAUUACAGGUAUAUAAUGAAUCCAUUGUCUUAAGAUUUGUUUUGGAGUUCAUGCUGCAAUUGUAAAAUGAAGUUAGUUUUCCACAAUUUACACUUUGGUUUCAAUCUAGAACUUAGGACCUGUUUAGUAUUAAUUUUCGACCUGUUUUUUUAAUAAAAAAACUAAUUAAAAGUAGGUUGCAAAGCAAUACUAAACAAGCCUUAAAAACAAUAAUAAGACUAUUCAAUAUACAAAUCUCUUCCUGAAUUAUUGUCCAUUUUUAUUUUCACUUCAAGAAGAAUAUUUUUUAUUUAAACUACAAUUAAACGUGUGUAAAAGAAUUUGCUUUAGUACAUCAAUUUUUAUAACUAAAACCAAUUGGCUAAAACUAGAAGUACAGUUGCUACUUGCUAGCACUCAUCUUCUUUUUUCUUUUCUUUGUUCUCAAAACAAACAAAUGGCCAAGGUCCAUUUCUCAAGAAAGCAUUAAUUUUAGCCCUAGAUGUCAAAGAUCAUAAAGGAAGAGGGG